GACGAACGCUGGCGGCAUGCCUAAUACAUGCAAGUCGAGCGAACAGAUGAAGUGCUUGCACUUCUGACGUUAGCGGCGAACGGGUGAGUAACACGUAAGGAAUCUACCUAUAAGCGGGGGAUAACAUUCGGAAACGGGUGCUAAUACCGCAUAAUAUCUUCUUCCGCAUGGAAGAAGAUUGAAAGACGGCUCUGCUGUCACUUAUAGAUGACCUUGCGGUGCAUUAGUUAGUUGGUGGGGUAACGGCCUACCAAGACGAUGAUGCAUAGCCGACCGGGGAGGGGGAUCGGCCACAUUGGGACUGAGACACGGCCCAAACUCCUACGGGAGGCAGCAGUAGGGAAUCUUCCGCAAUGGGCGAAAGCCUGACGGAGCAAUGCCGCGUGAGUGAAGAAGGCCUUCGGGUCGUAAAACUCUGUUAUAAGAGAAGAACAAAUUGUAGAGUAACUGCUACAGUCUUGACGGUAUCUUAUCAGAAAGCCACGGCUAACUACGUGCCAGCCGCCGCAGUAA
RNAcentral lists this ribosomal RNA (513 nucleotides) under uncultured bacterium. Its description in RNAcentral is "partial 16S ribosomal RNA". It matches the Rfam family "Bacterial small subunit ribosomal RNA", at positions 28 to 523 of the family's 1533-position model. The record is from RNAcentral.